RNAcentral lists this small nucleolar RNA (91 nucleotides) under Chelydra serpentina (North American snapping turtle). Lineage: Eukaryota; Metazoa; Chordata; Testudines; Chelydridae. The record is from RNAcentral.
GGUUCCCGGUGAUGUCAGCACUGGGCUCUGAACUCUUGUGAGGAAAUCAGUGCCUCCCCGGGGACUUGACACCCUGGGGACUGAGGGGGCC